AUUGAACGCUGGCGGCAUGCUUUACACAUGCAAGUCGAACGGCAACGCGCCGCUAGGUCCUGCCGCGUGGGGCACGGGGGUGUAAUACACCUGAAAAUGCCCCGACUUGGGGGGUAUCUCCCCGCAAGAGUAGCUAAUAUCCCACACGAUCUCUGGGGGAGAACGGGGGAGCGUGAAAGCCCGCGCGAUUGGAGCGGGCGAUGUCGGAUUAGGUAGUUGGUGGGGUAAAGGCUUACCAAGGCGACGAUCUGUAGCUGGUCUGAGAGGACGACCAGCCACACUGGGACUGAGACACGGCCCAGACUCCUACGGGAGGCAGCAGUGGGGAAUUUUGGACAAUGGGGGCAAGCCUGAUCCAGCAAUGCCGCGUGCGGGAAGAAGGCCUUCGGGUUGUAAACUGCUUUUGUUCGGGAAGAAACGCUUUUGGUUAAUACCCGGGGGGAAUGACGGUACCGGAAGAAUAAGCACCGGCUAACUACGUG
Molecule: ribosomal RNA, 482 nt
Filed under: uncultured bacterium
Lineage: Bacteria
Description: partial 16S ribosomal RNA
Rfam family: Bacterial small subunit ribosomal RNA
Source: RNAcentral